AUUGAACGCUGGCGGCAUGCUUUACACAUGCAAGUCGAACGGUAACAGGCCGCCAGGUGCUGACGAGUGGCGAACGGGUGAGUAAUGCAUCGGAACGUGCCCAGCCGUGGGGGAUAACUACUCGAAAGAGUAGCUAAUACCGCAUACGAUCUAUGGAUGAAAGCGGGGGACCGUAAGGCCUCGCGCGAUUGGAGCGGCCGAUGUCAGAUUAGGUAGUUGGUGGGGUAAAGGCUCACCAAGCCAACGAUCUGUAGCUGGUCUGAGAGGACGACCAGCCACACUGGGACUGAGACACGGCCCAGACUCCUACGGGAGGCAGCAGUGGGGAAUUUUGGACAAUGGGCGCAAGCCUGAUCCAGCAAUGCCGCGUGCAGGAAGAAGGCCUUCGGGUUGUAAACUGCUUUUGUACGGAACGAAACGGCUCUGGUUAAUACCCGGGGCUAAUGACGGUACCGUAAGAAUAAGCACCGGCUAACUACGUG
This 482-nucleotide ribosomal RNA is filed under the name uncultured bacterium. Its description in RNAcentral is "partial 16S ribosomal RNA". It matches the Rfam family "Bacterial small subunit ribosomal RNA", at positions 30 to 507 of the family's 1533-position model. The record is from RNAcentral.